Molecule: ribosomal RNA, 1030 nt
Filed under: uncultured bacterium
Lineage: Bacteria
Description: bacterial SSU rRNA
Rfam family: Bacterial small subunit ribosomal RNA
Source: RNAcentral
GGCUGUGCGGCGGCUUACAUAUGCAGUCGAGCGGAACGAUGGUAGCUUGCUACCAGGCGUCGAGCGGCGGACGGGUGAGUAAUACUUAGGAAUCUACCUAGUAGUGGGGGAUAGCUCGGGGAAACUCGAAUUAAUACCGCAUACGACCUACGGGAGAAAGGGGGCAACUUGUUGCUCUCGCUAUUAGAUGAGCCUAAGUCGGAUUAGCUAGAUGGUGGGGUAAAGGCCUACCAUGGCGACGAUCUGUAGCUGGUCUGAGAGGAUGAUCAGCCACACCGGGACUGAGACACGGCCCGGACUCCUACGGGAGGCAGCAGUGGGGAAUAUUGGACAAUGGGGGAAACCCUGAUCCAGUCAUGCCGCGUGUGUGAAGAAGGCCUUUUGGUUGUAAAGCACUUUAAGCAGUGAAGAAGACUCCUCGGUUAAUACUCGUGGACGAUGACAUUAGCUGCAGAAUAAGCACCGGCUAACUCUGUGCCAGCAGCCGCGGUAAUACAGAGGGUGCAAGCGUUAAUCGGAAUUACUGGGCGUAAAGCGAGCGUAGGUGGCUUGAUAAGUCAGAUGUGAAAUCCCCGGGCUUAACCUGGGAACUGCAUCUGAAACUGUUAGGCUAGAGUAGGUGAGAGGAAGGUAGAAUUCCAGGUGUAGCGGUGAAAUGCGUAGAGAUCUGGAGGAAUACCGAUGGCGAAGGCAGCCUUCUGGCAUCAUACUGACACUGAGGCUCGAAAGCGUGGGUGGCAACCAGGAUUAGAUACCCUGGUAGUCCACGCCGUAAACGAUGUCUACUAGUCGUUGGGUCCCUUGAGGACUUAGUGACGCAGCUAACGCAAUAAGUAGACCGCCUGGGGAGUACGGGCCGCAAGGUUAAAACUCAAAUGACUUGACGGGGCCCGCACAAGCGGUGGAGCAUGUGUUUUAAUUCGAUGCAACGCGAGACCUUACCUGGUCUUGACAUAUCUAGAUCCUGCAGAGAUGCGGGAGUGCCUUCGGGAAUUAGAAUACAGGUGCUGCAUGCUGUCGUCAGCUCGUG